RNAcentral lists this ribosomal RNA (254 nucleotides) under uncultured bacterium. RNAcentral's name for it is "partial 16S ribosomal RNA". It matches the Rfam family "Bacterial small subunit ribosomal RNA", at positions 524 to 776 of the family's 1533-position model. The record is from RNAcentral.
GACAGAGGGGGCAAGCGUUGCUCGGAAUUACUGGGCGUAAAGGGCGCGUAGGCGGGAUGGCAAGUCGGUCGUGAAAUCCCUCGGCUCAACCGAGGAACGUCGAUCGAUACUGCUGUUCUUGAGGAUUGCAGAGGAGACUGGAAUUCCCGGUGUAGCGGUGAAAUGUGUAGAUAUCAAGAGGAACACCUGAGGUGAAGACGGGUUGCUGGGCCGACACUGACGCUGAGUGCGCGAAAGCCAGGGGAGCAAACGGG